This is an RNA transcript of Coccinella septempunctata (seven-spotted ladybird), 2939 nucleotides long. RefSeq lists it as uncharacterized. NCBI's taxonomy places the organism in Eukaryota, Metazoa, Arthropoda, Insecta, Coleoptera, Coccinellidae. The record is from RefSeq and is a predicted model, not a curated record. The transcript has 3 exons.
UCAAUAUCAUAACGCCGUUGCCACAACUAAUAUCAACAAAUACAGAGACCAAGUGAACAACUGAACUCUGAACAAAUAUUUUGUUUCUUUAAACAAAAUAUUUGUUCAGAGUUUCAGAGUUGUUUCAGAUAUUCUAAAGUCGAGAAAAUGCCGAAAAUAGUUGAAAAGCCGCAAAGAAAGAGUAUCAGGAAAUGUUAUGCAGAAUUGAGGGCAGCUCAUCUGAAAAGUAAUCCUGAUACUCUUUCAUCUACCAUUUUCCAGAUGGUAUCAAACAUUUUCGAUCUGAACGUUUCCACAAUCCGAAACAUUGUUAAUGAAGAGGACGACAAAGAAUUUCCUCCUAUUGGGAGACCCAAAAAGGUGGAAGAAAUUGAGAAGUUUAUUUUUAGAAAAGACCUGCAACGGCGAAUUUGGGAUUAUAAUUUGAAAAAUGAACACUUUAGUGUUGACACUCUACUUAAUUAUGCAAAAAAUGAUUUGGAAUAUACCGGGGGACGGACAUCACUUUACAAAAUUUUAAAAUCGAUGGGUUACAAAUACAAAAGGGUGGAUGAACGCAAAAUUUUAUGUGAACAAAAGCAUGUCGUUGCAGCCAAAAUUACUUUCCUGCGAAAAUUUCUACAAUAUAAAUCAGAUGAAGAUAUCAGAUUCGUGUUCCUCGACGAAACUUGGAUUUACCAAAAUGGUUCUUCUGUUCGUCGAUGGACACACGAAUCUGAUAUAAAGAGCAACCCAUCCAAAAUUAAACAUGAAGGAAAACGUUUUACGGUUUUACACGCAGGAAGUAAUUGUGGAUUUUUAGAGGGGUGUAGUUUAAUUUUAAAUUCGGCAAACAAUGACAGAGACUAUCACAAUACAAUGACCAGUGAAUUAUUUCAUAAUUGGAUCAUUAAUCAACUGAUUCCUGCAUUAGCUAAGAUUCCUGGAAAAUGUGUGGUUGUAAUGGACAAUGCCCCUUAUCAUUCGGUGCAAUUGGACAAGCCACCCACAUUUUCCAGUAAGAAAAGUGAAAUGCAGGAUUGGUUGAUUAAAAACAAAAUUAAUUUCAGUCAAAAUUCAAAUAAAAAACAACUUUGGCAAUUAAUACUACCCUUUCGAAAUAGAAGUCAACGAAAAUAUUUAGUGGAUGACCUUUUGAAAGAGCAUGGGCAUGAUGUUCUUAGAUUACCCCCAUACCAUUGUCAGUAUAAUCCUAUUGAAAUGGCCUGGGCGUUCUCUAAGAACUUCUACAACAAGAACAUAAAUUCUCUUCCCUAUUCCAAAGAUAGGGUUUUGAAUUUAUGGACUUUGGCUCUUUCAAAAUGUACAUCGGAAAUGUGGAAAAAUUUUUGUAUGCAUUGUGAUAGGCUCAUAACUGACGACUGGGCUAAAUUUAUGGGUAAUCUCCCAAUAGCAGAUAUUCCUCCAUUCAUUAUUUCAUUGGGAGAAUCAGAUUCUUCUGAUGAUGAGUCUGAUUCAAUCGAUGACCUAAUGAAUGCGGAAUAAUAAUGUAGAGGAAAUUUUGAGGUUGUCCAUUCUGCUACAAAAGAUGAAAUGUUUGAGGUACCUACACCCUCAGUAUACAUCUGAAGCAAGUUUUGAAAAGUAAUUGAUCUCUCUGAAUAUCCAUCGGCCAGACUACAAGGCAGUUGUAAACGAGAAAUCCAAAAAUUUCAAUAGGAUCAUCAUUCAUUGAGAAUGUUGGAACUGAAUGGAAUGAAAUUAAAUCUCGCAGUAAGGCAGAGGGAAUGGCAUUUUAACACUAUAUACAUUCAAGAAUGUUGGAACUGAACGGAAUGAAAUAAAAUCUAGCAGUAAGGCAGAGGGAAUGGCAUUUUAACACUAUAUACAUUCAAGAAUGUUGGAACUGAACGGAAUGAAAUAAAAUCUCGCAGUAAGGCAGAGGGAAUGGCAUUUUAACACUAUAUACAUUCAAGAAUGUUGGAACUGAACGGAAUGAAAUAAAAUCUCGCAGUAAGGCAGAGGGAAUGGCAUUUUAACACUAUAUACAUUCAAGAAUGUUGGAACUGAACGGAAUGAAAUAAAAUCUCGCAGUAAGGCAGAGGGAAUGGCAUUUUAACACUAUAUACAUUCAAGAAUGUUGGAACUGAACGGAAUGAAAUAAAAUCUCGCAGUAAGGCAGAGGGAAUGGCAUUUUAACACUAUAUACAUUCAAGAAUGUUGGAACUGAACGGAAUGAAAUAAAAUCUCGCAGUAAGGCAGAGGGAAUGGCAUUUUAACACUAUAUACAUUCAAGAAUGUUGGAACUGAACGGAAUGAAAUAAAAUCUCGCAGUAAGGCAGAGGGAAUGGCAUUUUAACACUAUAUACAUUCAAGAAUGUUGGAACUGAACGGAAUGAAAUAAAAUCUCGCAGUAGGGCAGAGGGAAUGGCAUUUUAGUACUAUAUAUAUUCAAGAAUAUUUAAUAUUUUUGUAUAAACAAAAAGAUCUCUCUUCUCAUCUUCUUAAUUUCAAAAAGAAUUAUUGUACAUACAAGCAAAAUGUCAUUCAAUUUGCCCAAAAACAAUCUAUAAACUACUCGGAGGUAAACACAAGCUUGAAAUUUCCAAACAAACUGCUAUGUAUUCAUUUAUAUAUAUAUAUAAGAUGGUUUUCUGUUAGAGGGUGUGAGUGGCCCAGAUAAGUUGGGUUCAGGGUGCCUAGAUUAUUAAGGUUCAAAUAGUCAUUAUUCAAUACUUUAACAUCUCCAUAUGAAAUUUCUUGCUCAGGUGUAUCAGGCCAUAAUAUUGUGUGAUCAUCUGCCAACCACUGUUGAGUUGCUCAAUAAAAACAAAUAAAAAAAGAAACAAUCAAAUGUAUCUUGUAUAAAAAAGUUACUAGAGUGUUAAGGAUUUUCAAUAAAUGUCAUCGUUAAAUAAGUUCUAGAAGGUCAAUUUUACAUUUGACUUGUCCUAUACAUUGUGAAUGUCUUAAGGGAUCAAUAAAUAUUUUGUGUGAAA